GGAGAGGUGCCAGAGUGGCCGAUCGGGCCUGACUCGAAAUCAGGUGUACGCGUGAGCGUACCGUGGGUUCGAAUCCCACCCUCUCCGCCA
Molecule: transfer RNA, 90 nt
Filed under: Candidatus Thiodictyon syntrophicum str. Cad16
Lineage: Bacteria; Pseudomonadati; Pseudomonadota; Gammaproteobacteria; Chromatiales; Chromatiaceae
Also listed under: 1 other name
Description: tRNA-Ser
Rfam family: tRNA
About the family: Transfer RNA (tRNA) molecules are approximately 80 nucleotides in length. Their secondary structure includes four short double-helical elements and three loops (D, anti-codon, and T loops).
Source: RNAcentral